Small nucleolar RNA from Molossus molossus (Pallas's mastiff bat), 75 nucleotides. RefSeq annotates it as small nucleolar RNA SNORD66. The record is from RefSeq and is a predicted model, not a curated record. The transcript has a single exon. Lineage: Eukaryota; Metazoa; Chordata; Mammalia; Chiroptera; Molossidae.
GUGCACUGACAAACUCCCUGUUGGGCUGGCAUGUCUGGGACACUGAACCAUAGUGAUGGAGCUGAGGGCCUGCAG